GGCCGAGUAGCAAAGUGGUAAUGCAGGGGACUGCAAAUCCCCUAUACAUCGGUUCGAUUCCGAUCUCGGCCU
RNAcentral lists this transfer RNA (72 nucleotides) under Candidatus Sneabacter namystus. It matches the Rfam family "tRNA". Rfam says of the family: Transfer RNA (tRNA) molecules are approximately 80 nucleotides in length. Their secondary structure includes four short double-helical elements and three loops (D, anti-codon, and T loops). The record is from Rfam by way of RNAcentral. Lineage: Bacteria; Pseudomonadati; Pseudomonadota; Alphaproteobacteria; Rickettsiales; Rickettsiaceae.